RNAcentral lists this ribosomal RNA (264 nucleotides) under Triticum aestivum (bread wheat). RNAcentral's name for it is "partial small subunit ribosomal RNA". Lineage: Eukaryota; Viridiplantae; Streptophyta; Magnoliopsida; Poales; Poaceae. The record is from RNAcentral.
UUGGGUCGUGUUAUAAAUGCUCUGGCUAAACCUAUUGAUGGGAGAGGCGAAAUUGUAGCUUCCGAAUCUCGCUUAAUUGAAUCUCCUGCUCCAAGUAGAAUUUCCAGGCGUUCCGUAUACGAACUUCUUCAAACAGGGCUUAUUGCUAUCGAUUUGAUGAUCCCUAUAGGGUGCGGUCAGCGAGAAAUCAUUAUUGGGGACAGACAGACUGGCAAAACAGUAGUGCCACAGAUACAAUUCUCAAGAAAAAAGGGCAAGAUGUAA